UAGUCCAUGCUGUAAACGAUGGAUACUAGUCGUCGGAACACCUAAUAGUUUCGGUGACGUCGCUAACGCAUUAAGUAUCCCGCCUGGGGACUACGAUCGCAAGAUUAAAACUCAAAGGAAUUGACGGGGGCCCGCACAAGCGGUGGAGCAUGUGGUUUAAUUCGAUGCUACGCGAAAAACCUUACCUGGAUUUGACAUCCCACGCUACCUAGAGAAAUUUAGGGUUCCCUUUUGGGACGUGGUGACAGGUGCUGCAUGGCUGUCGUCAGCUCGUGUUGUGAGAUGUUGGGUUAAGUCCCGCAACGAGCGCAACCCUCGCCGUUAGUUACCAUCAUUAAGUUGGGCACUCUAACGGGACCGCUAGGCUAUAAGCCAGAGGAAGGUGGGGAUGACGUCAAGUCCUCAUGGCCCUUAUAUCCAGGGCUACACACGUGCUACAAUGGGAGAGACAAAGCGCAGCUAACUCGCAAGAGUGUGCCAAUCGCAAAAACUCUUCCUCAGUUCGGAUUGG
This 511-nucleotide ribosomal RNA is filed under the name uncultured bacterium. Its description in RNAcentral is "bacterial SSU rRNA". It matches the Rfam family "Bacterial small subunit ribosomal RNA", at positions 791 to 1301 of the family's 1533-position model. The record is from RNAcentral.